RNAcentral lists this unclassified non-coding RNA (617 nucleotides) under Leptothoe sithoniana TAU-MAC 0915. RNAcentral's name for it is "partial contains 16S ribosomal RNA, 16S-23S ribosomal RNA intergenic spacer, and 23S ribosomal RNA". The stretch from base 1 to 141 matches the Rfam family "Bacterial small subunit ribosomal RNA", at positions 1394 to 1533 of the family's 1533-position model. Lineage: Bacteria; Bacillati; Cyanobacteriota; Cyanophyceae; Nodosilineales; Cymatolegaceae. The record is from RNAcentral.
CCGUCACACCAUGGAAGUUGGCCAUGCCCGAAGUCGUUACCCUAACCUUUUUGGAGGGGGGCGCCGAAGGCAGGGCUGAUGACUGGGGUGAAGUCGUAACAAGGUAGCCGUACCGGAAGGUGUGGCUGGAUCACCUCCUUUAAGGGAGACCUACCGAAUUGACUCCGAACGAAUUGUGAAUAGGAGCGAUUAUGGUCACUCUAGGUCGUAGACAGGAUAGAGGAGUCUCAAACUAUUGUUUAGGUUUAGUGCUUGUCAUGAGAUGAGUAUUGGGGCUAUUAGCUCAGGUGGUUAGAGCGCACCCCUGAUAAGGGUGAGGUCCCUGGUUCGAGUCCAGGAUGGCCCACUAGGAUGGGGGUAUAGCUCAGUUGGUAGAGCGCCUGCUUUGCAAGCAGGAUGUCAGCGGUUCGAGUCCGCUUACCUCCACCAAAUUAAGAGAGAAUAAUUUCAGCACCCUGAGUCUUAGGCAUUAUGUCUGAAGAGGUAGGCUGCUGGACUUAGGUCUAGCGAGAACCUUGACAACUGCAUAGAUUAGUCGAAUAGGUAGUUCGACACAGAGAACCAUUAGUAGAAAGACUGAGAGGUCAAGCUACAAAGGGCUCAUGGUGGAUACCUAG